Hirundo rustica (Barn swallow) is the source of this 573-nucleotide non-coding RNA. The record is from the annotation of a RefSeq genome assembly. NCBI's taxonomy places the organism in Eukaryota, Metazoa, Chordata, Aves, Passeriformes, Hirundinidae.
AUGCGGCGCUGUCGGGGCGCGGCGCUGGCGGCGCUGGCCGCGCUGCUGCUCGUGGCUGCAGUCAGAGCCCAGGUACAGCAGGAGCCGUCACUGGAGACCACCGAGGGCACCAGUAUCAGCAUCAGCUGCUCACAUCCCAAUAUCCAGAAGGGCGAUUUCAUCCAUUUCUACCGUCAGCUCCCGGGCCAACGACCCGAGCUCCUGGCGGUCACUGCCAAAGCGACCAAGGACGUGCGAGUCCCUGAGGGGCGUCUGUGGGUGUCGGCAGAUCGGCGAUCGAGCGCGCUGUGGCUCCGGCGGCCCCGGCGCGGGGACGCGGCCGUGUAUUACUGCGCGCUGAGCCCACGGGCAGAGGAGCCGGGGCUGCGGCCGGGCACGAACCGCCGCGGGCGGGGCCGGGCGGGGCCGGGGGCACAGCGCCGGCCGCGGCCAGCAGGGGGCGCUGCCGCUCCGCCCGUGCCGGGCUGGCGGGGCGGAACCGACACCGGCACCGACACCAGAACUGACACCGGAACCGACACCAGAACUGACACCGGAACCGACACCGGAAUUGACACCGGCACCGACACCUGA